UUUUAAAAGGCUGCGGUAUUUUGACCGUACAAAGGUAGCAUAAUCAUUAGUUUUUUAAUUGAAAACUCGUAUGAAUGGUUGAAUGAGAAAUUAACUUUUUUUAAAAAAUAUUGAAUUUUACUUUUUAGUUAAAAGGCUAAAAUAAUUUUAAAAGACGAGAAGACCCUAUAGAGUUUAAUAAUUAUAUAUUUAUUGUUUUAUAGGUUUAUUUAUAAUGAUAGCUAUAAAAUUAUUUUGUUGGGGUGAUAAUAAAAUUUAAUUAACUUUUAUUAUAUAAAACCAUUAAUAUAUGACUAUUUGAUCCAUUCUUAAUGAUUAAAAAAUUAAAUUACCUUAGGGAUAACAGCGUAAUUUUUCUUUAAGUUCUUAUUAAUAGAAGAUUUUGCGACCUCGAUGUUGGAUUAAGAUUAAAUUUUAGGUGCAGCAGUUUAAAUUUUAAGUCUGUUCGACUUUUAAAUUCUU
This 462-nucleotide ribosomal RNA is filed under the name Bradysia brevispina. RNAcentral describes it as "partial small subunit ribosomal RNA". Lineage: Eukaryota; Metazoa; Arthropoda; Insecta; Diptera; Sciaridae. The record is from RNAcentral.